AAUGAACGUUGGCGGCGUGGAUUAGGCAUGCAAGUCGCGCGCGAUUUUACGGAUUGAAACUUCGGUCGAUUGAAGUAAAUGAAAGCGGCGAAAGGGAGAGUAACGCGUGGAUAUCUGCCCUUGGCUCCAGAAUAGCUACGGGAAACUGUAGGUAAUGCUGGAUAAUAUCUCCGGAUCAAAGGUGUGAUUCCGGCCGAGGAUGAGUCCGCGUCCUAUUAGAUUGUUGGUGGGGUAAUGGCCUACCAAGUCGAAGAUGGGUACCGGGUGUGAGAGCAUGGCCCGGCUCACUGGGACUGAGACACUGCCCAGACGUCUACGGACGGCUGCAGUCGAGAAUCUUCCGCAAUGGGCGCAAGCCUGACGGAGCGACGCCGCGUGCGGGAUGAAGGCCUGGUUGUAACGCUGUCAGUUGGAGGAAAGUGCUAUGGGGUUCGUCGUCCACUAGUUUG
RNAcentral lists this ribosomal RNA (449 nucleotides) under uncultured bacterium. Its description in RNAcentral is "bacterial SSU rRNA". It matches the Rfam family "Bacterial small subunit ribosomal RNA", at positions 29 to 471 of the family's 1533-position model. The record is from RNAcentral.